CCCAAAUUUUUGAAAAUCCGCCUUCUACCUUUUUUCUAUCUUUCAUCUUCUCAAACGACUCUCCCCUCUCGGUUCAUAUCUCUCCUAUCCGAUCCGCUUAUCCACUACUCCUUACCUCCUUCUUAUCGGUCUCAUCAAACAUCUCAUUCCCCACCUUUGUCGUUGACCACUGAUCCUUCCCCAUUGAUUAUUUGAUCAAAAUCACCAAUUAUUGGAUUGAUUGUGAUUUGUCUUUUUAGGGUUUUUUCAGAAGAGACUGGAGAUCCUAUACUAUCAUAAAGAUCGGAGAUUUUUUAUGAUGAUAAAGCGGACCCAUCCACACUCAUUCUGCUAUCUACUGAAGUCGAUCUUCUUUCAUUCUGCUGAUAUUCUAAGAAAAGAACUAGAGCACAAAGCCUUUGUAAGGCUGAGAAUCAACUCUCAUCCCGAUCUCCAUUGCAGCAUCAAAUUUGAAAUCUUCUCAGUUGACAUCUUCCAGAGCCUUCGCGGCAAAGAAAGCCAAAUCCUUGGGUGCAAAGGCGGGCAAUAAGAAAGCUCAGCCUAAAUGCAAAGCCGGUGUGAAAAAAAAUUUGAAACAGGAAGAGGCUAUUGGUUCCUCUAUCGAUGAUGCAGCUCAUGACCUCAUCUCGGAUGAAAGAAACCAGAGGCGCCUCCUCGAUGAAGAUAAGCGCGAUAUGUCACUUGACAUCGGCCCCAACGGACGACCGUUGUUUACUUCCGUUGCUUCUUUAUUUGAACUCAGUAGAAAGGACACCUAUACUUAGAUGAAGUUUAGGAAGAAACUGGAGGAGGUGUUGCCGGAGAGAUUGCCAGUUAGAAUGGAGAAGGAGUUUGAUGAAUCAAUGAGAGAUGCAUUGCAAGUAAGACACAACUUCUUGGAUCUGCGAGAUAAUUACAGGUGUAUUAUUGAUCCACCAUAAUUGCAGGUGUAUUUUUGAUCCACCUUUGCAAUCUACUAACAGCAAAGGUUUCAGUUUUCAGAAGCAAAUAGUAUUAGAUGGGCCUGAAAGUUGUGGAAAGAGUAUUGCUCUUGCAAUGCUUGUUCAUUGGGCACGUGAUGAAGGGUGGUUGGUGUUGUAUAUAGUUUAUACUAUAAAUAUUGUUCGGAAGAGUGUUUUAAUAGCAACAAUGGCACUUGUUUUGAAGGGAAAUCCAUCAAGUUCAUCAAGGCCAGCUCUUGAAUUACCACAGAGGGUAAACUUCUAAUCUAUUUAUCAGGCAAGGUGUUCUUGGAAGCUGCCAAAUAUCAAAUAAAAAAGGAAGUGUACAAACCUUAGGAUAAUAACAUUUCAAUUGUUUAUAAUAUAAUUAAUAUUAUACUAUUUUCAUGACACCGAAAGUUAUAAAUGGAAGUGUUGUUAAUUACUGGGCUUGUAUCAACUUCUCAAGAACUGUUCCAGAUAGUGUUGCUCAAAGUUUUUGUCAUCAGUUGGUCCAAAUGUGCCAAAAAUCUGGCAUGGUAUGUGUAUAAUCAACUCAGGUAUUGUAAUUAUUGAUUAAGUACCAGUCAUUUACACUCGAGUCCAUAUGAUUAGAUGAUAAGGAACUAAUCCAGUUGAAUAAGUCCUUCCCUAAUCUUCAAGCUCUUAACUUGAUAGAUGUUAGAGGACUUAAACUACCCACAAUUUUCUUUUGUUGGUCUCUUUUAUACACAUUUUCUUUUGUUGUGUUUCUUUAGUCUUUAUAGCCCCUCUUUUAUACACUUCAUAAACACACAACAUCCUUUCAUGCAGUAAUUCCAAACAGAAGGGUAAAUUUGUCCUUAAACCUCACUCACUACACAUCUUAAAGAAAAUUUAGAUGAGUGGUUAACAGAAGAGCUGGAGAAUUACAUGGAAGAUGAUUAUCUAGUAUUUGAUUGCCCAUGGGCUAUUUCAUUCGGCCAGGAAGGUGAGGGAGGUGUAAUGGAGUACAAUUAGUCGGUCUCUACCCCUUUAGCUGGAGAGUACAAUUAGUCGGUCUCUUUUAUACACAUUUUCUUUUGUUGUGUUUCUUUAGUCUUUAUAGCCCCUCUUUUUAUUUUCUUUGUUUCAUUAACUGUUUUUUUGAGAAAAAAUUAUUUAUUAUUUUUGCAGUUUCUCUCAGCUAAAUUUAAAUGGUAAUUUAUCCAAUCUUUCAUGGUUAGAUCUAAGUGAUAACCAGCUUCAGGGACCCAUUCCUAUGUCUAAUGAAACAGCCCCUGGUCUUGACAGGUUAAAGAAUGCAAAACACUUGUAAGUUUUGUAUCUUAUGUACAUUGUCAGUUAUUAAGCUUUUAUAGUGAUUUUUCUCACCUGUGUUAUCUUAAUCUUAUGACAAUUAUGCAGCCAUUUAGUAGAUAAUCAGUUAUCUGGUGACAUUCGAUCUGAACUGUUCAGAUCAGAUAUGACUCUAAUACAUGUGUAAGUAUCAGAUUACCUGACGAAAGAUCUCAAGUAUAAUUGGUUAACAAAUAUAUAUACACUUUUCAAACAGGAUAUUCAAUAACAAUCAAUUAUCUGGAAAAAUUCCUUCCUUGAUAGGACUUAUGAGU
Molecule: non-coding RNA, 2512 nt
Organism: Lactuca sativa (garden lettuce)
Lineage: Eukaryota; Viridiplantae; Streptophyta; Magnoliopsida; Asterales; Asteraceae
Source: RefSeq, a predicted model, not a curated record